Long non-coding RNA from Schistocerca nitens (vagrant locust), 1208 nucleotides. RefSeq lists it as uncharacterized. The record is from RefSeq and is a predicted model, not a curated record. NCBI's taxonomy places the organism in Eukaryota, Metazoa, Arthropoda, Insecta, Orthoptera, Acrididae. The transcript has 3 exons.
UGACCGCGACCAGAUGUGUCCACUAGCUCCUCCCUUUGGGGACGCAGUGCCCGUCAGUUUAACUGUGGCAGCCUCCUGUUGCCGUAGCGAGUUUGAGUUUGGUGUAUCCUUUAGAUGUAGGCUUUUGGAGAAAUAAAACCUCCACCAGUUACUGGAAUCAGUCUUUUCAUUCGAAGGUUUUCUACCAACACCACCGGACGCGCCACUUUUGCUCAUUUCCGAUCACGAGCAAGUCCACCACGUACAAAGUGGUGUCCGCUGAAAUGGGAUAAGCUCACCUUUACGUCCGGUUGACACGUUUCCGUCUGCCGAUUGUUGCCCCUUCAAUCUGAUGGAUACGAGCUGGCAGAGCCUAUUGGCCUGGUAGUUAGUAUGUAACCUGGGCCAUGGUAGGGAACUUCGACAUCCUGUUUGCGCCUGAAUGCGCACACUGUGCAGUCGAUGCGUGUCAGCGCGUGCCGAACGUACCGUUAAUGCAUUAGGCCGUAGACGACGUCUUUGCUGCGUGGGCGUGCUCUCCCGGGCCGCGCCACGCUUCUGCAGCAGUCUUCGUAUCGUUGCGGGCGCAGUCUGACGCACGCCACCGACCACGCCGCUCCUGCGUACUGUCCUGUCUUCUCGUCGCUCCGCCGAGGGCCCAUGCAGCCUCACCGCCGCACGCAAAUGUCGCUGCCGCCGCCCCGUCAUCUCGACAUCCGGCGCUGCCGUACCGGUAGUCCGCCGGCACCAUCGCCUUCGCCGCUGCCUCCGUCGAUACACGACGUGGGUUUGUCACCGAAGAACUACCGACGCCGCCUACGAGAGUCACUGAUCCAGCGCGGACGAGCUGAGCACAAGUAAAUGAAGUACGAAAACGCACGAGGAUUCGCAUUUGGAACAGAGCUCCGUCCUCGAGUGUUACAGUCGCCUAUGAUCUGCGAAGCCUGCUCACCGAGCCUGCCCAUCACCCGACGACAACACCAGCCCUGUCGGUUUCGACCGCAGCCCUACAUCGCGGCGCCCAAGCCCUGCCGCGCACCACUCAGGCGCUGUCUGACUGACCGCUCCGGCCUUCGUCGUUCUCCUGACGACGCUCUCACUCCGACGGCUUCGCAUCAGCAAGCCCACAUCAACACUCAACUUACAUGGCCAAUUCAAUGAAAUUAUGCUUAAUUUUGUUUAAUUUUGCAAGAAGUUCUAUGUGGUCAUUUACACUUGAAUUUCACAAA